Molecule: small RNA, 111 nt
Filed under: Arabidopsis thaliana (thale cress)
Lineage: Eukaryota; Viridiplantae; Streptophyta; Magnoliopsida; Brassicales; Brassicaceae
Description: ATSL154150
Source: RNAcentral
AAUGCUUCGUAGUUUCUUCCUCUUGACAGCAACGGUGACAAGUUGUACGGGGGCGAAUGUGCCGAUAUGUCAACGCCGCUCCUGUUGCUAAGACCCCAGAGCAUAAUCUCC